UACGUAGGGUGCAAGCGUUGUUCGGAUUUACUGGGCGUAAAGGGCGCGUAGGCGGCUUGACAAGUCACUUGUGAAAUCUCCGGGCUUAACUCGGAACGGCCAAGUGAAACUGUCAUGCUAGAGUGCAGAAGGGGCAAUCGGAAUUCUUGGUGUAGCGGUGAAAUGCGUAGAUAUCAAGAGGAACACCUGAGGUGAAGACGGGUUGCUGGGCUGACACUGACGCUGAGGCGCGAAAGCCAGGGGAGCAAAUGGG
RNAcentral lists this ribosomal RNA (253 nucleotides) under uncultured bacterium. RNAcentral describes it as "partial 16S ribosomal RNA". It matches the Rfam family "Bacterial small subunit ribosomal RNA", at positions 524 to 776 of the family's 1533-position model. The record is from RNAcentral.